Molecule: long non-coding RNA, 949 nt
Filed under: Homo sapiens (human)
Lineage: Eukaryota; Metazoa; Chordata; Mammalia; Primates; Hominidae
Description: HSALNT0350277
Source: RNAcentral
UUGAAAGCUGGUAUUAUACACACCUAGGAGGUACAAUACUAAAUCUACAAACUCAUGUAUACAAUAUUUCUUUAAAAUUUUAUAUGAUUCAAUUUAGUCAAAGGAAGAGAGAGGCCAACAAGAUCUGAAACAAAAAAGCUGCAUUUAUUGCUUGCUAAACAAGAAAAAAUUGUACUUGCAAGACAGUCACCCCAAACAACACAGGAAAGGAAAUUAUGUAAGCAUUUGGGAAGUGUGCAGUUCCAUCAUCAAAGUUCUGAAGAGUGUGCAUUGUGACAUAAUGUGUGUUGAAGAUCACCUUGUCCUCGCCAUUAACUCUCCAGUAUCAUCUACUGUGCUGUCGUUCUCUCACAUGGCCUUUGGUCAUUGGUUCAGACAGGCUAAGAAGACAAAUGGAGAUUUGCAGAAGAAAAUGUCAUAUGGGUUAUCCUGGUAGUCUCCAGAGAAUUAACUGAGUCAUCCACAUUAUUUAGCUCCAUCUCCAUCCUUCAUGUGAUAGGAAACAGAGUUUUGAAGUCGAGGACAUAAGGCAGCAUCACCAAAUGCUCUCCAGGAGAGUUGCUACCUCUGCCAAAGGCAAAAAGGAGAUAGGGAAGCUGCCAUAGCAUCUGUUGGUUCCAGGAAGAAACCACCUUGCCUGUGGCCUGGGGAUAGAAGGAUGACACCUCAUCUAGUUACUUUAUGCAUGGCAGUUCUGCACUAGCAAAAACUCAGAGGCCAACCCCCAGACUGGAGCCUGAAAUGUUGCUACAUAAAACCCAGUGUUUCCAUGACCGAGCUUGCCAGCUGCAACAACAAUAUCAGCAGAAAGAUCGCUUCUGAUCAACUUCUCCUUCCAAAUCUCAUCUUCUCAAGCUGAAAACAGCAAUUUGAGUUUCCCGAGUUCUAACCAUGUAAACCAUGCUGGAUUCAAGGUGGAUGGAUUGAUUUUCAUCCUCAUUCAAUGUAA